GUUUUUGAACUAUGCCUGCACGACGUAAGAGAUCUAGAGGUGAUAAUUCUUUGUAUUAGGUGUCUUGUGUAAAAAAAAGACAUAGAGUGGGGUCUGGAAAAGAGUGGUGAGAGGCGGAGGUAAAACCCCAGGCGCGAGAGGGGAUAUCUAUUAUAUUGCCCCUAAAGCGCCCGGACGGUUUUUGAAAAACUUUUGUAAAUCGGGCAUAGCUUAUGUGUGACUUAUCUGAUGAGACUGCCAGACUUGGGCCCGGAGAGGGCAGAAGGUCCUCUUUAGGGUAGAGGUGAAAUUCUGUAAUCUAAGAAGACCCACCAGUGCCAAGGGCCUGAAAAAAAAAACGGCCCCGACAUAAAGGAACAAAACCUGGGGGCGCAAACGGGUUUCAAUACCUGGUAAGUCUAGGCAUAAACCCUAGCGGGUUUGGGGUUGGGGCCCCUACAAGGCCUUCCGGUACCGAGAGAAAUUGCUUACCCCCCCGCUGGAGAGAGCCAAUGCCAAGAUUGAACUUUACAGCAUUUGAAGGGGAACAACCCCAAGGGGGGAGCCGUGCUGUUUAUCUGAAUCCACCCCCGAAAAACUCGCGGGGGCCAAGGUUAAAUCGAGGGGCUGGCGUGUACUUUUCCCAAAUUUCCCGGAAAGUUUGGUAUGCCCCAGUAAACACGACCCGAGGGUUUCGUGUUGGUUGGUUCGGGCUGGCCCCCCCCCUUGGUGACGGGGGUUCUUGGGGGGUCUGGCGGAUUUUUUUUAUACUUUUGGGGAACGGCGGUUUUAAACAGGAAGAGGGGGGGGCGAACGGGGGCAGGUUUGCCAUUAUUCCCCGGGCUAGACCGGCCUUUCCGGGGGGGCUUUUGUUCCCCUUCGGAAAGUUAAGUUAACCUAAAACCUUUUGGGGUUUGAUGGGGACUAAAACCGUUUCAAGGAGGGGUUUUUUUUAUUACCCCCGAUCAACCUCCCCGGGGGAGGUGUCCCUUGUUCGUUGCAACAGCAGGAAGUUACAAUUCUUUCAAAACGGGGGGAUUGCCCCCUUAAGGAGAGGUUAACUUUCAGGGGGGGGGGGGCGGGGCCCCCGCGGGCUAAUCAGAGACCCCCUAUUUUGCUAUUAUAGGACUCUCCGAGAACCCGGGGGGGGGGG
RNAcentral lists this ribosomal RNA (1132 nucleotides) under uncultured archaeon. Its description in RNAcentral is "partial 16S ribosomal RNA". It matches the Rfam family "Archaeal small subunit ribosomal RNA", at positions 343 to 1478 of the family's 1478-position model. The record is from RNAcentral.